RNAcentral lists this ribosomal RNA (468 nucleotides) under uncultured bacterium. RNAcentral describes it as "partial 16S ribosomal RNA". It matches the Rfam family "Bacterial small subunit ribosomal RNA", at positions 28 to 507 of the family's 1533-position model. The record is from RNAcentral.
GACGAACGCUGGCGGCGUGCUUAACACAUGCAAGUCGAACGGAAAGGCCCUGCUUUUGUGGGGUGCUCGAGUGGCGAACGGGUGAGUAACACGUGAGUAACCUGCCCUUGACUUUGGGAUAACUUCAGGCAACUGGGGCUAAUACCGGAUAGGUGCUCCUGCUGCAUGGUGGGGGUUGGAAAGUUUCGGCGGUUGGGGAUGGACUCGCGGCUUAUCAGCUUGUUGGGGGGGUAGUGGCUUACCAAGGCUUUGACGGGUAGCCGGCCUGAGAGGGUGACCGGCCACAUUGGGCCUGCGAUACGGCCCAGACUCCUACGGGAGGCAGCAGUGGGGAAUAUUGCACAAUGGGCGGAAGCCUGAUGCAGCAACGCCGCGUGCGGGAUGACGGCCUUCGGGUUGUAAACCGCUUUCGCCUGUGACGAAGCGUGAGUGACGGUAAUGGGUAAAGAAGCACCGGCUAACUACGUG